RNAcentral lists this microRNA precursor (70 nucleotides) under Drosophila mojavensis. Its description in RNAcentral is "Dmo-Mir-9538_pre stem-loop". The record is from RNAcentral. Lineage: Eukaryota; Metazoa; Arthropoda; Insecta; Diptera; Drosophilidae.
AGUUAUUCUUGCUGUUGUCUCAUCUUAGAUAUCGUUCUGCUUGAAGGAUGAGAUCAGUCAGAAUAACUCG